This 211-nucleotide long non-coding RNA is filed under the name Mytilus galloprovincialis (Mediterranean mussel). Lineage: Eukaryota; Metazoa; Mollusca; Bivalvia; Mytilida; Mytilidae. The record is from RNAcentral.
GGCGGUUUAAUUCUUUUGUUCUAUAUCUUAUGGGAAGACAUCUUGUGGUCAAAACAUAUUUUACCUGUCUGCAAAUAACAAUCUAUACAAUAACAAUUCUGUGAUUUGGAGUUUCAUAGAUAAGGUCAGUCCUAUAUCUUUCUUUAUUAAUUAUGCAAUAACUGUCCAAUAGUUCAUAUUUUACAGUUAUGCAUGUUGAGAUUGAAUGUCG